AUAUGACUGGAAACUAUAAUCAUGGCUAAGAUUGUAUAACAUGCAAAUAUCAGACCUACAGGUAUUAUCAUUAUUAUCUAUAAAAUUCAACAGUGACUGAGUUCUCUUUUCCAAGAUAUUCUACCAACUCUAAAUUUCCUGAAGUCUGCCCUUGUGUGCUGGUGAGAUGGUGUGACAAUAACUUCUUGUUUGCCCUGGGUCCAUUCCCCUGCUCUGCUCUGUACAGAAGAAAAUGACCUCUGCAAAUCUAUUUUCCAGGCCUCCUUUGCCAGCUAGGUUCAAGUUAGAUAAGCUUGUGAGUGAAAUAAGUGAUGGGAAAGUAGGAACUGAAGAUCUGCUGGGCUAGCCGGGACUAUCUGCCAGGAAGUGCUGCAGGGUGAAGGCUGGUAAAGGAUGACGCCUAAUCAUUCUUGCUUAACGGACUCCUAAUCUCUGCUUGCUUCUUCACCACCACUAAAACCAGAAGUGGGUUAGAGCCUCUGCAUCUCUAGGGCUCAUGCUGGGUACAGUAUCUAUUAUUAAACCAAGAAACAAGUUCAUCUCUGGAAAGAAGAAUUUGGCCCAAGCCCUCCUCCUCAGGGGCUCAUCCAUUGAGCAUGUACUCUUUGAAGCUCUGCUCCCCACUAGGGGGUUCCUGUGAAUGGAACAAGAUCCCUGCCUAAUGGGGGCCCAUAAGAAUGUGCUCUAGCUGUUAUUCCCAUCCAUGAUAUGCAGUGAAAUGCAGUCACACUGAUUUCACUAGUUUGAAGUUGUUUCCACUUCCUCUGUACUUGGGCACUUACCCUCACUGCAUUGCUUGGACUUUCUCAACCUGACUCAUCCACUUGGGAGUGAUGGAAACCCUGGAGCCAGAGGAAUGAAAACUACACUUGUGGCUGAGUCUUGCCGAAGAUCUGUGGUGUCAUAAAGAAGCAGACAGUAAUGGACCAGCAUAACUAGGUGUUUGAUUUGUUUAGGACAUUCACAUCCAAAUGGCAUGAACACUAUAACAUCAAAAACAAUAUUGCAUGUUUCUUAAGAGAGCAGCACAAAGUAUAAAUAAUUUAAAGAGCAAAGUAAAGAGAUAGAUAAUAGGGAAAGGGGAAAUAGAAAUAGACAAAGAGAUGGAGGAGGCAGGAGGGAGGCGAGGAAAGGGGAAGAAGAAAGAAUUAAGAUGUGUGAUGUACAUGCACCAACUGCCCAUGAUGAGUGUAAUUAUUAUGUACUGCAAACAUGUACUAACAACACUUACUUAAAAAGAGAUAUGGGCUAAGUCUUUUGAAGUUUGAGUAAUAGACAAAGUGAGUCAAGGGUUCUACAAAUUUUAUUCAUAAAAAUAUUUUUUGGUUGUGAUUUCUAAGUAAGUAGCAAUGUUUGCUUUUAAAAACAGUCUCAGUUGUUUAUUCAGUUGAUCUUUUUCAUUUAAAAAAUUUGUUUCCAAGGCAAGGGCCUUUGUUGUUAUACAUUCUUUCAAAGCAUUAAAGUACUCGAAGAAAACGAAAGCUGGGAGCAUAUUGCUAACAUCAAAAGAGCAUCCGAGGAAUGCAGAAUUCCCGCUUUUGAGAAAGUGAUUUGGGCCCGACAUACAGGUCGAAAAAUCAAGAAAUGUUGCCAAAUAACAGACAACUCAUCUGCAAACACAAGAGUGCAUACUGGAAAUUGCUUGUAAAAUGAAAGCCAGCUGGCAUCACUAUAAAAAAGUCUUAGGAAAAAAGCCUCUUCAUCUAAUUCAUAAAUGGGAAAUUAAAUCUCCAGGCUUAACUGGCUCAGUUUUAUCUUUUUUUGUUUGUUUGAACUAUGCUUUGUUGGUUGAAUAACUGUGACAACAUUGAGACAGUUUGUGAGUAAAGCCAGGGGUGAUCUUUUAUAAAUAGUGUUAUAACUACUUCUCAAGAAAAGCCUUAGAUAAUACCAUGCCUGAACCCUUUGUGGAUGGUGCAGCCUCAGGCCAGUACAGUUGAUAAGCAGCAGAGGAAAUCUUCUGCCUAACUUAUGAGAUAUGUGUGUGCCUUCUGUGAAUAUAUAAUUAUAUGAUUAUAUAUACAGUAUACACACAAUCAGCAUUUAUUCCCAUACUCUUUUAUACUCUCUUCAGUACCAUAAGGGAGAAUCCUUUACUUUCACUGGUAUAAUUUAUGUAGCCUAUAAAAUGUAUACAUGUAAGAUUCCAAAGGCAGAACAGAAACUCAGUGAAUCUAUAUAUUAAAAAAUAAGAAUUUCUUUGGAAUAUAAAUAAUAUUUUCCCUGAUUUAUUGAUUUGGUAAGUCUAGAAUUGUAAAGAGAGUGCCCUGUUUGUUUAGUGUUUGGUGCAAUGAUUGAAUCUUUCAUUGAACAAAAAAGUGAAUGAAUCUUUUCUUCCUCCCUUUUGGGUUUACUUCUUAUAUGACACUGAGAGACUGAGCACAGUAUUUUGAGAUAGAUGACAAGGCAGUCACCUUUGAGUGGUACAGAUUUAGUAGCAACGGUAGAGUGUCUUAUUACAAUAUCUUUAGAGUAUGCCAUCCAAAAGUUCUCCCUCUGUGCCCUUAUGAUGAAAUCAAGAGAAUCAGGACUGAAGAUGCUGAUGGGGAGGGGAGGCAAGUGUGAGGAGGACAGCUUGUUUUCAUUUGAUCAAACAGCACUAGACUUGCAAAAAAGCAGUUGUAUUACUGAACAAUGUGAUGAUUCUCCCCAUGAAUCAUCCAAUAACCUCCAAGAAGCAUUCAAUCUGUCAAACUCUCAACAAGAUCUAGCUUUUGAUAAACAUAUUUACUUUAAUAGCAGUUCCUGAGAUGAAAGGUUCAGAUUUAUGGCUCCUAAUCUCUAUAACCUGAAAAUAUGAAAUAACUUCCCAGGAAGCUGCCUUGAAAAACUAUUCAAUUAAGCAAGAAUUACACUAGAAUCUUCUUUUUGGUUAAGACAUAUAAUGUUACUCAUUGAUUAAUCUCUUAUUCCUAAAAAUGAUGUAAAGAGGCUGGCUAUAUUAUACAUUGAAAAAUUCUGCCUGUUGGCCUAAUAUAAAAUGAGGAACUGUCCAAGAUGAACCCUAAGAUAUCUUCCAAAUCACAUCUUUUAUGAUACAAUUUCUGGGAGUCUGCCUCUCAAUAUUUUAUAACCAGGGGCCACACUAAGAUGAAACCUUAAUAAGAUUCCUCAUGUGGGGUAUAGAUAGAUCUUGGUUCAUCUUAGACUCUACCUGGUAUUUGCACUGUAGUGUUUCUGAAGUGUGCACAUAUCCACAGAGUGAUGUAAAUUUAAUUCCCUGGCAAAUUAGAUGACAAAGAUUUGUUUUCUGUUCUUGUGAUUAACUGGAUGAAUUUGGCAAAAGGUUAUCACUCAGUGGCAUAAAUUUAGUUAUGGGGAUGUUUAACUACAAUUUCUAUAUUAUAUGAAUUCUAAAAUUAGAUUUGAUGGGAAGGGAAGAUGGUUAAAAGGAUAGUAUAAUUUUCAAAUAGUAAAACCAGCAUUUGACCUGUGAGAAGGCAAUUCUAGUCUUAUUGAACAAUAUAGACUUUCUUCCCUGACUGACAGAUAUCCUUUUAAAGGCAAAGGUUCUCAAUUUUUUGAGAACUUUUAAUUAAUUAAGAUUAUUGGUACAUUUUAGGUUUACAUAAUGAUCACAUUGAUCACAGGGAGUUUGUACCUGUACAUGAUAUAUCUUGCUUCUUAUUUUUUCCCAUUCCCCUUCCUUCCCUUCAUCCUCUCCAUCCCUCCUUAUUUGCAAAAGCUUUGUUUCCAUUUUUCCUUCUUUUUUCAUUUUUUUCUUUCCUUUCCUUUCUUUCCCCAGGCCUCUCCCUAGUUCCCCUUCUCCUUUGAACAUUUUCAUCCUAUUUCACAAUAUCUAUUAUACAUUUUGG
Heterocephalus glaber (naked mole-rat) is the source of this 3815-nucleotide long non-coding RNA. NCBI's taxonomy places the organism in Eukaryota, Metazoa, Chordata, Mammalia, Rodentia, Bathyergidae. The record is from Ensembl.